Molecule: RNase P RNA, 332 nt
Filed under: human gut metagenome
Description: Bacterial RNase P class B
Rfam family: Bacterial RNase P class B
About the family: Ribonuclease P (RNase P) is a ubiquitous endoribonuclease, found in archaea, bacteria and eukarya as well as chloroplasts and mitochondria.
Source: RNAcentral
CAAACGCUAUAUCUUUGAUAUAGAGGAAAGUCCAUGCUCACACGUUCUGAAAUGAACGUAGUGUUCGUGUUCAGGGAAAAAAUAACCUGAAGUAGAGAAAACUCUAACGGCGAAGUAAAGACCUAAGUCUUUAAGAUAUGGUCUUCUUCUGAAAAGUGCCGCAGUGACGAAUUUUUAGGAAACUAAAAAGUGAAACGUGGUAAACCCCGCGAGUGAGAAACCCAAAUUAUGGUAGGGGAGCUUUGAUUAGGGAAUAACAACCAAGUCAAGGACUGAGCAAUCAGUAGAUAAAUGUUUGUCGCCUAGUAAUAGGUACAGAACAUGGCUUAUAA